GCUAAACGCGAAGAACCUUACCUAGGCUUGACAUAUAGAUGACGAUAUCAGAGAUGAUAUUUCUCUUCGGAGCGUCUAUACAGGUGCUGCAUGGCUGUCGUCAGCUCGUGCCGUGAGGUGUUGGGUUAAGUCCCGCAACGAGCGCAACCCUUGCCAUUAGUUGCUACGAAAGGGCACUCUAAUGGGACUGCCGGUGACAAACCGGAGGAAGGUGGGGAUGACGUCAAGUCCUCAUGGCUCUUACGGGUUGGGCUACACACGUGCUACAAUGGUGGUGACAGAGGGCACCGACCUCGCGAGAGGAAGGAAAUCCUUAAAAGCCAUCCCAGUUCGGAUUGUACUCUGCAACUCGAGUACAUGAAGUCGGAAUCGCUAGUAAUCGCAGAUCAGAAUGCUGCGGUGAAUACGUUCCCGGGUCUUGUACACACCG
Molecule: ribosomal RNA, 430 nt
Filed under: uncultured bacterium
Lineage: Bacteria
Description: bacterial SSU rRNA
Rfam family: Bacterial small subunit ribosomal RNA
Source: RNAcentral